This 513-nucleotide ribosomal RNA is filed under the name uncultured bacterium. RNAcentral describes it as "bacterial SSU rRNA". It matches the Rfam family "Bacterial small subunit ribosomal RNA", at positions 127 to 674 of the family's 1533-position model. The record is from RNAcentral.
UACCCUUUUCUACGGAAUAGCUCUGGGAAACUGGAAUUAAUACCGUAUACGCCCUACGGGGGAAAGAUUUAUCGGGGAAGGAUUGGCCCGCGUUGGAUUAGCUAGUUGGUGGGGUAAAGGCCUACCAAGGCGACGAUCCAUAGCUGGUCUGAGAGGAUGAUCAGCCACAUUGGGACUGAGACACGGCCCAAACUCCUACGGGAGGCAGCAGAGGGGAAUAUUGGACAAUGGGCGCAAGCCUGAUCCAGCCAUGCCGCGUGAGUGAUGAAGGCCUUAGGGUUGUAAAGCUCUUUCACCGAUGAAGAUAAUGACGGUAGUCGGAGAAGAAGCCCCGGCUAACUUCGUGCCAGCAGCCGCGGUAAUACGAAGGAGGCUAGCGUUGUUCGGAAUUACUGGGCGUGAAGCGCACGUAGGCGGAUAUUUAAGUCAGGGGUGAAAUCCCAGAGCUCAACUCUGGAACUGCCUUUGAUACUGGGUAUCUUGAGUAUGGAAGAGGUAAGUGGAAUUGCGAGU